Molecule: ribosomal RNA, 310 nt
Filed under: uncultured bacterium
Lineage: Bacteria
Description: bacterial SSU rRNA
Rfam family: Bacterial small subunit ribosomal RNA
Source: RNAcentral
GACGUAACGCUGGGCGGCGUGCCUAACACAUGCAAGUCGAACGGGGUAAGAGCGUUCGGUUCUUUACUUAGUGGCGAACGGGUGAGUAACGCGUGAGAAACCUGCCUCUCAGUGGGGGACAACAGUUGGAAACGACUGCUAAUACCGCAUAAUAUAUUCGAAGGGCAUCCUUUGAAUAUCAAAGCUUUAUGUGCUGAGAGAUGGUCUCGCGUCUGAUUAGAUAGUUGGUGAGGUAACGGCUCACCAAGUCGACGAUCAGUAGCCGGUCUGAGAGGAUGAACGGCCACAUUGGGACUGAGAUACGGCCCAG